AACGAACGCUGGCGGCAGGCUUAACACAUGCAAGUCGAGCGCCCCGCAAGGGGAGCGGCAGACGGGUGAGUAACGCGUGGGAAUCUACCCAUCACUACGGAACAACUCCGGGAAACUGGAGCUAAUACCGUAUACGUCCUUCGGGAGAAAGAUUUAUCGGUGAUGGAUGAGCCCGCGUUGGAUUAGCUAGUUGGUGGGGUAAUGGCCAACCCAGGCGACGAUCCAUAGCUGGUCUGAGGGGAUGAUCAGCCACACUGGGUCUGAGACACGGCCCAGACUCCUACGGGAGGCAGCAGUGCGGAAUAUUGGACAAUGGGCGCAAGCCUGAUCCAGCCAUGCCGCGUGAGUGAUGAAGGCCCUAGGGUUGUAAAGCUCUUUCACCGGUGAAGAUAAUGACGGUAACCGGAGAAGAAGCCCCGGCUAACUUCGUGCCAGCCGCCGCAGUAA
RNAcentral lists this ribosomal RNA (447 nucleotides) under uncultured bacterium. RNAcentral describes it as "partial 16S ribosomal RNA". It matches the Rfam family "Bacterial small subunit ribosomal RNA", at positions 29 to 523 of the family's 1533-position model. The record is from RNAcentral.